RNAcentral lists this ribosomal RNA (462 nucleotides) under uncultured bacterium. Its description in RNAcentral is "partial 16S ribosomal RNA". It matches the Rfam family "Bacterial small subunit ribosomal RNA", at positions 29 to 507 of the family's 1533-position model. The record is from RNAcentral.
AACAAACGCUGGCGGCGUGCCUAACACAUGCAAGUCGAACGGGGCAAGCUUUCGGGUGAGUACUAGUGGCGCACGGGUGAGGAACGCGUGGAUAAUCUGCCUUAGAGCGGGGGAUAACUAGUCGAAAGAUUAGCUAAUACCGCAUAAGACCACGAGAGCUGCGGUUUUUGAGGUCAAAGGUUUUUCGCUCUAAGAUGAGUCUGCGUAAGUUUAGCUAGUUGGUGGGGUAACGGCUCACCAAGGCGACGACGUUUAACUGGUCGUAGAGGAUGAUCAGUAACACCGGAAGGGCGACGCCGCGGAGACGCCUACGGGAGGAGGCAGGAGGGAAGAAUGCUGGACGGUGGAAGCUAGGAUGAUGCAGCACCGCGGGGUGAGUGAAGAAGUUCGGGGCGUAGAGCAGUGCCGCAGGGGAAUAUCACAAUGACGGUACCCGGAGAAAAAGGACCGGCUAACUUCGUG